CCGACGGUGAGGGAUGAAAGCUGGGGGCACGAACCGGAUUAGAUACCCGGGUAGUCCCAGCCGUAAACGAUGCUCGCUAGGUGUCAGGCAUGGCGCGACCGUGUCUGGUGCCGCAGGGAAGCCGUGAAGCGAGCCACCUGGGAAGUACGGCCGCAAGGCUGAAACUUAAAGGAAUUGGCGGGGGAGCACAACAACGGGUGGAGCCUGCGGUUUAAUUGGACUCAACGCCGGACAACUCACCGGGGGCGACAGCAAUAUGUAGGCCAAGCUGAAGACUUUGCCUGAAUCGCUGAGAGGAGGUGCAUGGCCGUCGCCAGUUCGUACUGUGAAGCAUCCUGUUAAGUC
RNAcentral lists this ribosomal RNA (345 nucleotides) under uncultured archaeon. RNAcentral describes it as "bacterial SSU rRNA". It matches the Rfam family "Archaeal small subunit ribosomal RNA", at positions 691 to 1035 of the family's 1478-position model. The record is from RNAcentral.